Long non-coding RNA from Rhipicephalus microplus (southern cattle tick), 304 nucleotides. The record is from RefSeq and is a predicted model, not a curated record. NCBI's taxonomy places the organism in Eukaryota, Metazoa, Arthropoda, Arachnida, Ixodida, Ixodidae.
ACGUGCGAAGCAGAAGCCAGGAAUCACUUUUCACGUGUUUCCGAAAGACAAGACGCUGCGUGACGCAUGGCAGCGUGCUGUUCGGAGGGAUCGCUGGGAGCCUAAGAAUGCGGACGUUCUCUGCUCGGAGCACUUUGAAGCCAACUGCUUUGACAGGACGGGCCAAACGACCAGACUGCGACCAGGGAGCAUUCCUACCAUUUUUCCUGCGUUCCCUGCGCAUCUCCAGAAACCAGCGAAAAGAAAGCGAGAGGCCCCUAAGUGUCGGACUGCGCUGUCACCUGUCGUCAGUGCUGAGGCAGCG